GGGAGUGGGACACGUGUCGGGCGCGGGCUAGUCUGGGGGGAUUCGCGAUCAUUAUGGUGCCGGAUCCCAGGAUCUAUUUAAACCCGUCCUUCCACCUUUAGGGGCCCUAUUCUAUUCCAGAGUUUUUAUCAGUGUCUGCCUUCCCUUCGAGAGCCCUGUUUCAGUUGGCAUCUUCUCGAGCCGUAGGCGCCCUCCAAAUCGUCCCUGUCUUCGUCCCUCUGGUCCC
RNAcentral lists this long non-coding RNA (226 nucleotides) under Elaeis guineensis (African oil palm). Its description in RNAcentral is "long non-coding RNA (EGUI_LNC071478)". The record is from RNAcentral. Lineage: Eukaryota; Viridiplantae; Streptophyta; Magnoliopsida; Arecales; Arecaceae.